UAUGUCGACGAUGUUGUGGCUAUC
RNAcentral lists this non-coding RNA (24 nucleotides) under Arabidopsis thaliana (thale cress). The record is from RNAcentral. Lineage: Eukaryota; Viridiplantae; Streptophyta; Magnoliopsida; Brassicales; Brassicaceae.